AACUUCCAGUCCCCUUCGUACAUGCCAGCAAGGGAACUGUGAAGAAAAAGAUGUUUGGCUGAUGGAAGCUCACUCCACAUGAUUGCAGUCUUCAGAAGGCAGCUGAGACUUAUCACAUAAAAGCAGAUAAAGGGAAGAACACCCUUUUCCUCUUAGCUGUCUCCUCUAUUGGUGCCUAAGAAACAGCUGCUCUACAAGAACAAAAUUCAACUAUCAAAGGACUUCAAAACUCCCAGCAAACCCGAACAGGACAGCAUCCUCCCUCCAAGGUGCCUGCUGGACAUCUGUUGAGCUGUGAAAUUCAGCUCUGUUUGGCAUAGGCUUCAGCAAAACACCAGCAUUUCCUUACUCACUGCGCAGGCAGACCUUCUCUCAUCUAGGAAAUGCUAGGAAAGCAACUCUCUCGAACAAGAACUUGGAACAGACUGAGGUAAACUAACUGUGUUCGGUGCUUGGAAAAAACACCCUUACACUGAAUGUACUUUUAUGAACAUUUAAGCUAGAUGACUCAAACUAACAAUGCCUAGGCUUGAGUGGUCGCGUUUAUUCUGAAGUAACUAAGAAAAAUCAAGUUAAGUUUAGAACUGAGCUUUGGCUUUUUGGCUUUUAGGUGCAUAAUGCUCAAAAAAAAAAAAAAAACACCUUACAGUGACUGGAGCAAGAAUCACUGGGCUCAGAAAUAACAGGAUUAGGACUAAAGUCCUUCUAAAACGAAUCAACCUCAC
This is a long non-coding RNA of Oxyura jamaicensis (ruddy duck), 725 nucleotides long. RefSeq lists it as uncharacterized. The transcript is spliced from 3 exons. Lineage: Eukaryota; Metazoa; Chordata; Aves; Anseriformes; Anatidae. The record is from RefSeq and is a predicted model, not a curated record.